RNAcentral lists this microRNA precursor (168 nucleotides) under Pelobates cultripes (western spadefoot toad). The record is from RNAcentral. Lineage: Eukaryota; Metazoa; Chordata; Amphibia; Anura; Pelobatidae.
GCAGACACAUUCCAGCCAAUCAGCAGCAGACCCUCCCUCCCAGACCCUCCCACCUCCUGGACAGCAUCCAUUUUACAUUCAUUGUGAAGCUGCAUUCUUAGUGAGCUGUCCAGGAGAUGGGAGGGUCUGGGAGGGAGGGUCUGCUGCUGAUUGGCUGAAAUGUGUCUG